Molecule: ribosomal RNA, 433 nt
Filed under: uncultured bacterium
Lineage: Bacteria
Description: partial 16S ribosomal RNA
Rfam family: Bacterial small subunit ribosomal RNA
Source: RNAcentral
AACGAACGCUGGCGGCAUGCCUAACACAUGCAAGUCGAACGAGACCUUCGGGUCUAGUGGCGCACGGGUGCGUAACGCGUGGGAACCUGCCCUUAGGUUCGGAAUAACUCCCCGAAAGGGGUGCUAAUACCGGAUAAUGUCUUCGGACCAAAGAUUUAUCGCCUUUGGAUGGGCCCGCGUUGGAUUAGCUAGUUGGUAGGGUAAAAGCCUACCAAGGCGACGAUCCAUAGCUGGUCCGAGAGGAUGAUCAGCCACACUGGGACUGAGACACGGCCCAGACUCCUACGGGAAGCAGCAGUGGGGAAUAUUGGACAAUGGGCGAAAGCCUGAUCCAGCAAUGCCGCGUGAGUGAUGAAGGCCUUAGGGUUGUAAAGCUCUUUUACCCGGGAUGAUAAUGACAGUACCGGGAGAAUAAGCUCCGGCUAACUCCGUG